This 477-nucleotide ribosomal RNA is filed under the name uncultured bacterium. RNAcentral's name for it is "partial 16S ribosomal RNA". It matches the Rfam family "Bacterial small subunit ribosomal RNA", at positions 30 to 507 of the family's 1533-position model. The record is from RNAcentral.
AUUGAACGCUGGCGGCAUGCCUUACACAUGCAAGUCGAACGGUAACAGGUUAAGCUGACGAGUGGCGAACGGGUGGGUAAUGUAUCGGAACGUGCCCAGUCGUGGGGGAUAACUGCUCGAAAGAGCAGCUAAUACCGCAUACGACCUGAGGGUGAAAGCGGGGGAUCGCAAGACCUCGCGCGAUUGGAGCGGCCGAUAUCAGAUUAGGUAGUUGGUGAGGUAAAGGCUCACCAAGCCGACGAUCUGUAGCUGGUCUGAGAGGACGACCAGCCACACUGGGACUGAGACACGGCCCAGACUCCUACGGGAGGCAGCAGUGGGGAAUUUUGGACAAUGGGCGCAAGCCUGAUCCAGCCAUGCCGCGUGCGGGAAGAAGGCCUUCGGGUUGUAAACCGCUUUUGUCAGGGAAGAAAAGGUUCUGGCUAAUACCUGGGACUCAUGACGGUACCUGAAGAAUAAGCACCGGCUAACUACGUG